CAAACAAUUAAUUCAACUACAAUCAUUGAUUAAUGGUUUAUUAGAUUAAAAUGAGCUCCAAUCGAUUAACUAAUAGCAUCUGCUUAGACGUUUUUAUAGUGUUGUAGUGUAGCCGCCAUCCAGCAGAGGGCGCCGCUGGAUGGUGGAACAGGAAAGAUGGCGGCCAACAAGAACGGGAAAGAAAAACGGUCUAAACAGAGUCCGGUGCGGGAUUCAAACUGCACUUUAUGCGGUUCUGUUUUGAAAUAUAAAGACUGGACAGGCUAAUUAAGUUUUGAGGAACUUGAGAGGUUCUUGCUUUAUUAUAUUUUAUAAAUACGCAUAAGUUUAAUAAUGUGAGGAAAACACUUUUUUGAUAAAAGCUACCAGUUACCAGAGCUAUCAUUAAGCUAAUUUUGAUAGUUUCACAGUAAGUACUACGGAAAAGGUCACUGAUAUUUAUCUUAGUAUUACACAGUAUUCUUUGUUAAAAAUUGCUUUUGAAUCCCUAGAAAUUACACACUGACCCAAAUAUUUGAUGUGUGAUUUUGGCGAUGGCACUCAUCAAAAUGUAAUGUUUGUUGACUGGUUUCUUAAUAAGUUUGUAUGCCUUGUGCUGAAAUGUGCCACACCAAUAAAUGAAAUUGAUAGAUUGAUUUGGUUAGAGUAAACUGUGAUUAAGUAGUAGUUGUAUUGUACUUGUAUUGUUUAUACGUUAGAUAAGAACGAGACCAGAAAUAGUUUUAAGGUUGUUGCUUGUUUAUUGUGAUAGAAACAACCUGACAAAAUGACCGUCAGUCAGAAAACGGAUGCUUAUCAAUUAAUCAUUAAUCAAUGGAUAAUUAAUGGAUAAAAUCGGAAGUUUUUAAGCUUAUAACCGGACGGUGCGGUAUUAGAAGUGACUCCUCAUGGUGAAGAUCCAUUUCUGCCACGUCUUACGGCGUCGGAUCUUUCUUCUUCAGUGACGUCAUGAAUCCAUUUGGCGUCGCCAAGCAUCCUGGGGAAAAUCGACCCGAACUUCACUUUCAACCUGCUGCUCUUCUCCGUGAGCGGGCGAACUUUGGACAACCUGGACCUCACAGACCUCCAAGUAAAUGCCACAAGACCGAACCAAAUAGAGCUCAACCGGAAGGAGGAGCGUUUUUUUAAUCAUUAGUUGUCUGGUGUUUUUUGGGUGGCUCUAGUGGCCUUUAAUUGAUAGAUAAUUUACAGGAAAGUGGGUGAUGAGAGAAGCAGCAAAGGUCACCAGGCCGGGAAUCGAACAUGCGACAGCCGCGUCAAGGACUUAACCCCUGCGCCACCACAGCCCAUCCCAGGAGGAGCGUUUAAUGUUGCUAUGGAUUCUGUGAUUUGCUCCCUUUAUCUGCUUACACACUCACGCUGAAGCUUACAUAACCAUGUUUAUGUGACUGCCGACAGUCGUAUGUAAACAGCCUGAAACUGAUCAGACCAUCCUUCAGGGAGGAAACGGACUGCGGAGGAGAAUAAAAAGCUAAACUCGAGCUACAAUCUUUGCCUCACUUGUUUACAUCCAUAAGCUGUCACCAGAUCCCAUUGACGGCAGUGGAAAGAAAAGGAUCAGCUGCAGUCGGCCAUUGUUGUGAGCAGCAGGUGAAGACGGAGGGAUGGAAAGCAGAUAGAAGCGAAGGAUGAGGCGCUUCGUCAGGCUUUAGUGGACGUUGUUCUUUACCUCCCAACAAGAGGAGGGGAGGCUCCAGCUGCAGCCUAUCAGCAGGAAGGAGGCGCACCACCUCCAUCUUCAUGACAGCGGACAAAUGCAACCAUCAUUAUCUGCAUCACCUCCUGACCCGUCCAAGAGCCGCUUCAGGCGAAAUACUUUCAGCUUCUAAACACACGACAACCCCCCACCCAUGACGGCUAAACUACGUCCAGAUGGGGCUGUGAGGGGGCAGAUCCCCAACUCCAGCCACUCCGUAGAGCGCCGAGAAGUCCUCCCAGUUAGACCCAAUAACCCCGACUUGAUGCCAUUACACUGAAAAAACACUAAAUAUUACCACCAUUUUUGGUCCAGUUCUUACUGCAAAUAUCUUAGUACACUUGAAA
Molecule: long non-coding RNA, 2043 nt
Organism: Gambusia affinis (western mosquitofish)
Lineage: Eukaryota; Metazoa; Chordata; Actinopteri; Cyprinodontiformes; Poeciliidae
Exons: 4
Source: RefSeq, a predicted model, not a curated record